Molecule: ribosomal RNA, 1360 nt
Filed under: uncultured organism
Description: bacterial SSU rRNA
Rfam family: Bacterial small subunit ribosomal RNA
Source: RNAcentral
GCUUGCUGAAUACACGACCGGCGCACGGGUGAGUAACACGUUUGCACCUACCUCUAACUGGAGGAUAGCCCGAAGAAAUUCGGAUUAAUAUCCCAUAAAGUCAAUUUAAGGCAUCUUUUAUUGAUUAAAGCUCCGGCGGUUAGAGAUGGGCAUGCGUGUCAUUAGCUAGUUGGUGAGGUAACGGCUCACCAAGGCCACGAUGACUAGGGGGUCUGAGAGGAUGAUCCCCCACACUGGUACUGAGACACGGACCAGACUCCUACGGGAGGCAGCAGUGAGGAAUAUUGGGCAAUGGACGCAAGUCUGACCCAGCCAUGCCGCGUGCAGGAUGACUGCCCUAUGGGUUGUAAACUGCUUUUGUUUGGGAAGAAACCCCCGAUCGUGAUCGGGGCUGACGGUACCAUACGAAUGAGCAUCGGCUAACUCCGUGCCAGCAGCCGCGGUAAUACGGAGGAUGCAAGCGUUAUCCGGAUUCAUUGGGUUUAAAGGGUGCGCAGGCGGAAUAUUAAGUCAGUGGUGAAAUCCUGCAGCUUAACUGUAGAACUGCCAUUGAUACUGAUAAUUCUUGAAUAUAGUUGAGGUGGGCGGAAUGUGUAAUGUAGCGGUGAAAUGCUUAGAUAUUACACAGAACACCAAUUGCGAAGGCAGCUCACUAAACUAAUAUUGACGCUGAGGCACGAAAGCGUGGGUAGCAAACAGGAUUAGAUACCCUGGUAGUCCACGCUGUAAACUAUGAUCACUCGCUGUUGGCAAUACAUCGUCAGCGGCUGAGCGAAAGCAUUAAGUGAUCCACCUGGGGAGUACGGUCGCAAGAUUGAAACUCAAAGGAAUUGACGGGGGCCCGCACAAGCGGAGGAACAUGUGGUUUAAUUCGAUGAUACGCGAGGAACCUUACCUGGGCUUAAAUGCAGAGCGACGUCCGCCGAAAGGUGGAUUCCUUCGGGCGAUCUGCAAGGUGCUGCAUGGUUGCCGUCAGCUCGUGCCGUGAGGUGUCGGGUUAAGUCCCAUAACGAGCGCAACCCUUAUCGUUAGUUGCCAGCGGGUAAUGCCGGGGACUCUAACGAAACUGCCGGUGUAAACCGUGAGGAAGGUGGGGAUGACGUCAAAUCAGCACGGCCCUUAUGUCCAGGGCUACACACGUGUUACAAUGGUCGGUACAGAGGGCAGCUACCACGCGAGUGGAUGCUAAUCUCGAAAACCGGUCUCAGUUCGGAUUGAAGUCUGCAACUCGACUUCAUGAAGCUGGAUUCGUUAGUAAUCGCGCAUCAGCCAUGGCGCGGUGAAUACGUUCCCGGGCCUUGUACACACCGCCCGUCAAGCCAUGGAAGCUUGGGGUACCUGAAGUCCGUAACCGCAAGGA